This 849-nucleotide ribosomal RNA is filed under the name Triticum aestivum (bread wheat). RNAcentral's name for it is "partial small subunit ribosomal RNA". The record is from RNAcentral. Lineage: Eukaryota; Viridiplantae; Streptophyta; Magnoliopsida; Poales; Poaceae.
AUGCCAAAGCCGAAGAAAGCCUGGUUUCAUGGUGCAGAUAGUUUUGAAACUCGUACUACACUUGAGGCAGACCGAGGAUUCCUUAACCUCUUGGACCAGACGCAAGACAAUCUCAGGAAUGCACGAAACAAUGCGCCAAACAUGACGACGAAAGUCUUGGGUGGGUUUGUUAGAACCUUCUACUUUGAUGAAGAAUCUAAUGCUGAUGUCAUUGACGGCGUAAUGCAAAUUGAGUAUGAUCUAGAACAGUUCAGAGUAUACCCUAUCACAGUAGUGGUCUUAGAGCAUAAGGACAACUCUAGUGAGAUUGGAGAUGCAAUUGUUGGGCAUACUCAAAAGCUUUCUGGCUAUGGUGGUGACUUAAUUGUGCGAGCAUAUUUCAGUGCGUUUGCCCAUAAAAUCCAGAAAUAUAUAGUGGCCUACGAGCCAUUCGCCCGGUCCUCAAUUUGGGGAAUACGCAACCCGGCAUUUUUUUCUGCUGAUGGCCUACAGCUGGACUUGACAGAAUAUUGGCGAAAAAGGAUGAGGUCAUUCAUAAAACUUCUCCAUUACGCGGCACAGCGCGAAAUCAGACAUGGUAGUCUCUCGAGCCCUAGCAGCUACGUGACUUGUCGUGGAGAUCAGAGGAUAAUUAAUAUGGGGCGAGUUUAUCAUGACAAAUACGAAGCCGGGAAAGACAUGGAGGAUCUUAUGCAUCUUAUAUCUAGACUAUUCCCUGACAGUUCGACUAAAUAUGAGUGGGUAUCCCUUAAGAAUCUUCUGAUUUCAAAGACCAUGAGUGACCCAGCAACAGUCCAGAAUUUCCUUCGUAUUGCCUUGGGGCACCCAAUUUUAUUGGACACCGUAUAA